Long non-coding RNA from Cynoglossus semilaevis (tongue sole), 1311 nucleotides. RefSeq lists it as uncharacterized. NCBI's taxonomy places the organism in Eukaryota, Metazoa, Chordata, Actinopteri, Pleuronectiformes, Cynoglossidae. The transcript is spliced from 3 exons. The record is from RefSeq and is a predicted model, not a curated record.
AUAUUACUAAAAUCUAGUUCUAAUUAUUUCCCCUCUAUUUGUCACCCAUGACAAAAUGAGGUCCAAACAAAUGUGAUGCUUCUGCUCCAGUUGUUAAAGUCAAAUCAAACUCUUAACGUGAUGGAAUCAAAUAUAAACCAAAGCCGUUUGCCACCAUCAGGGCAUUAACAUUUUAUCUUGUUUGUUGCAGGAAACCCCAGUUACCCUCUCCAGUGCCACAUUCAUAACAUAUAUAAAUGUAGACCCUGUUAACAGUGAGUGGACUUUUCUCGGGGGGGAAACGUAAACAGUCCACAGUAUAUCCAGCAGCAAGUGUCCCUUUUAGAGUGAGGUGAAAUGGUUUAAAAAAGUAAACAGCAGGGAUUUACUGUGAUACAUUUUCUUCCUCUUCUCCUCUGCUCCCUUAACAGAGACAACUCUUCCUGUUCCCAAAUGUCUACUUGGAGUUUUUGUUGUUUAUAUGAAUUUAACAAGUACCGAUGCACUAUGAUUUUUAAACGAUCAUAAAUAAAGAAAAGCUUAUUCUUUUUAAGAGUUAUGUUCGACAGAGAACACAUCCAUAUUGAAUUACAUAAAAAAUACAAAAAGAAUCAAUUUAUGAUUCUGCGUUGAAAAAUAGUCUGAGUUGUUGGAGUAGACAGUUGUAGUCAGAGCAUUAGCAACAACAACGACCAGUUCUCAUGUGUCUCUGCAGCUUUUUAUUGGAGCAGCUCCUUAUAACAUUUUCAUUUCACAUACAUUACACACUCCCAUCAGUUAUUUAACCGAAGCCAAAACUGUAGUACUUUACUGCAGCACGGCGUCUCAGUAGCACCGUGUAGCAGCUGUCUUUUUUCUCUUUUCUCCAGUUUAUCUAACACUUCCUUCCAUGACAACUGUUUACAGCUUGGUUUCUCUGCAUGUGUGAUUGCAUGUGAUUGGUUGCAGGUGUGCACGGUUCCAUUGACACUCUGACCAGUAGACUGACCAGCAAACUUUUCUACCUGGGAUUACCAUUACACCUAAUGAGGACUACUUCUGUGACCCAGGCCCGGCUGUUCCUGUUUGGAUUCCUGAAGAAAUGGGUAACAUGCUCCAUGGAAGAUUUUUGUUUGGAGUGUUUUGGCCGGAGUGGAGGUGGUGCCACAAUAUUUCCUCUUCCUUCUUCUUGGAAAAUGAGGAGCUGAAAAACAGCCUGAAGAUGUGUCUAAACACCACGAGGCUCAACAUUAUUUCAUGAGGAAGAAGAAGGAAGACAAGGUCAGGAGAAAGACACAGAUAAUAACCAUCUUCCAGCACUUUAUCCACACCAUAAAAAUAGACAACGACAUU